UGGAACCAUGGUCACACCUCUUCAAGCAUGCAUUGAUGCUGUGUUGAGGUGAGGAGAAGCCACGAAGCCUUAUGCACCGCCUCACCCACUUCCUUUUCUUCUAUCUCUUGUUAAUAGUGCUUCUCAUUUUCUUUGAACCAAAACACGCACAAAGAAGGAGAAGAACAGAGAAGGGAAGCAAAACGAAACUGAAGAGGAAGGAAGAAGCCAUCCACAGCAAGAAGGAAGGCACCCCACCUCUCAUCACUCUGAAUCUUCGAAGCUUCUUUGUUGGGUGAGAACUAGCAACUCUCCUUCUUCCUCUUCUUCAGAUUCAAAUUCUGUUCUUCCCUUUUAUUCCACCUCUGCCAUUCUAAUUCCAAUUCUUGCUAGAACAGUAGUGACCGUAGGCAAGAACUCUUCCCUUGCUUGAGAUGAGGUCGGCCAUUUGUUCUUGAAAGAGAGGCCAAAGCUUCAAUUCCAUACGCUUAGGGUUCUGAUUUCCGAAGGAAGUAAAAAUAGAAUUUCCAACUUUAAAAGAGACGGGUCCGGUAGAGGAGCCCUGUGAGUUUCGUUCUAACUGCUGAGCUAUGAAGAUCUGGCGCGCGGCGGAGUCUUCAUAUGGAGCAUGUUUUGGACCGAUCACUCCAGAGUUAGUCGCAGUGGAUCUUUCGCUCCUGCUUGAUGAUCUUAGUAUCACUUUCUCCUCACUUUUGUAGUACUUUUAGAGGGGUAGGACGUCUUAGUAGUUCGGUUCCAGCUUAGGAAACCCGUGUGAGGGUUGGAACUGAUUCCUUCUUUUGUAUCUGUACAUAUAACUUGGUGUGAUACUCGGCUUUGAUGGA
Non-coding RNA from Arachis ipaensis, 824 nucleotides. The record is from RefSeq and is a predicted model, not a curated record. Lineage: Eukaryota; Viridiplantae; Streptophyta; Magnoliopsida; Fabales; Fabaceae.